Molecule: ribosomal RNA, 460 nt
Filed under: uncultured bacterium
Lineage: Bacteria
Description: partial 16S ribosomal RNA
Rfam family: Bacterial small subunit ribosomal RNA
Source: RNAcentral
CCUACGGGUGGCAGCAGUGAGGAAUAUUGGUCAAUGGACGAGAGUCUGAACCAGCCAAGUCGCGUGAAGGAUGACUGCCCUCUGGGUUGUAAACUUCUUUUAUAUGGGAAUAAAAUGUUCCAUGUGUGGGAUUUUGUAUGUACCAUAUGAAUAAGGAUCGGCUAACUCCGUGCCAGCAGCCGCGGUAAUACGGAGGCUCCGAGCGUUAUCCGGAUUUAUUGGGUUUAAAGGGAGAGUAGGGGGAUUGUUAAGUCAGUUGGGAAAGUUUACGGCUUAACCGUAAAAUUGCAGUUGAAACUGGUAGUCUAGAGUAUGGGAGAGGGGGGCGGAAUGCGUGGGGUAGCGGUAAAAUGCGUAGAGAUCAAGAGGAACACGGAUGGCGAAGGCGGUUCGCUGGAAUACAACUGACGCGGAGGCGCGAAAGUGUGGGUAGCAAACAGGAUUAGAUACCCUUGUAGUC